This 871-nucleotide ribosomal RNA is filed under the name Pseudoalteromonas sp. SA7. Its description in RNAcentral is "bacterial SSU rRNA". It matches the Rfam family "Bacterial small subunit ribosomal RNA", at positions 85 to 958 of the family's 1533-position model. The record is from RNAcentral. Lineage: Bacteria; Pseudomonadati; Pseudomonadota; Gammaproteobacteria; Alteromonadales; Pseudoalteromonadaceae.
AAGAUGACGAGUGGCGGACGGGUGAGUAAUGCUUGGGAACUUGCCUUCGGGAGGGGGAUAACAGUUGGAAACGACUGCUAAUACCGCAUAACGUCUACGGACCAAAGGGGGCUUCGGCUCCCACCUGAAGAGAGGCCCAAGUGAGAUUAGCUAGUUGGUAAGGUAAAGGCUUACCAAGGCGACGAUCUCUAGCUGUUCUGAGAGGAAGAUCAGCCACACUGGGACUGAGACACGGCCCAGACUCCUACGGGAGGCAGCAGUGGGGAAUAUUGCACAAUGGGGGAAACCCUGAUGCAGCCAUGCCGCGUGUGUGAAGAAGGCCUUCGGGUUGUAAAGCACUUUCAGUUGUGAGGAAAGGUUGGUAGUUAAUACCUGCCAGCUGUGACGUUAACAACAGAAGAAGCACCGGCUAACUCCGUGCCAGCAGCCGCGGUAAUACGGAGGGUGCGAGCGUUAAUCGGAAUUACUGGGCGUAAAGCGCACGCAGGCGGUUUGUUAAGCUAGAUGUGAAAGCCCCGGGCUCAACCUGGGAUGGUCAUUUAGAACUGGCAGACUAGAGUCUUGGAGAGGGGAGUGGAAUUCCAGGUGUAGCGGUGAAAUGCGUAGAUAUCUGGAGGAACAUCAGUGGCGAAGGCGGCUCCCUGGCCAAAGACUGACGCUCAUGUGCGAAAGUGUGGGUAGCGAACAGGAUUAGAUACCCUGGUAGUCCACACCGUAAACGCUGUCUACUAGCUGUUUGUGAAUUUAAUUCGUGAGUAGCGAAGCUAACGCGCUAAGUAGACCGCCUGGGGAGUACGGCCGCAAGGUUAAAACUCAAAUGAAUUGACGGGGGCCCGCACAAGCGGUGGAGCAUGUGGUUUAAUUCGAUGCA